GUGCCCAAUGACUUUAUAUUUUUGUACACGCUAUUUUGAUUUGAUAUGUUUAGUGUUUGUUUGAUAGAAAAUAUUUUUAUUAAGGGAAGUGGAAGGGAAGCAAAACUAUUCAGAUGUUUUAAACUUAAUUGUAAUAAAACAAUAUGUAUAUAUGUAUAUAAAAGUACCUAUAUAUUCAGCAUAUUUUUACAUAUGUGAACAUAUUUUUCUGCAAAACCGUUUGAUUGGUGGAGAUCAGGACUUGAGAACUCUAAUUCAAAAUUCCAUUCCCGAGCAAAUUGUUUCAUACAAAAACUAUUAAAUGGAACAUUAUCUGCAAAAAAUAUAUCUGGGAUACCAAAUUUUGAAAAAGUUUCCUUGCAACACCGUAUAACUGUAUUUGCAGUUUUAUCAUUCACAGGAAAUAACUCUAUCCAGUGAGAGUACAGAUCAACAAUUAAAAGAUCAUCUAGUGCAACUUUUAAUUGAUUAUGUAAUGCUAAUGGUACCCUCCUUUGUGCCUGAAUAACUGGCUUUGCAUCAGGUUUUAAUUUAAUGUCAACCAUGCCUGGAAUACAACCUUCUGGAAAUGUUUUAUGUAAUUCAUUAAUAUUUUUUGGCAAAGUAACAUUUGGAUUAAACAACUUAUUUUGCACUGUAUUUAUAAGUGAAAUCAUGUUAAAUUCAAUACAAUCUGAUAAUCCUAGAAGAGGUUCUGUAUUUAGAUCUACAAUAAGAAACUGAACAUUUUUAACUUGAUUUUUAUAAUAACAUUUUAAAGUAGCACAACCUAAAGGCUUGGAUUUAAAAUUUCCAUAUGAGACAAUGGUUAUUGAUGAUGGGGUUAUAUCUUUUUGAUCUAGCCCCACCAAUUUAAAAUAUUUUAAUGGCAAAAUGCUUGACUCAGCCCCCGAGUCAAGCUUAAAUACAAUAUCCUUAUCAAUAAUUCUAAGGCUUUCAUACCAACUUGAUAUUUUAUUAUAUUGUUUGCUUUCCCAAAUAAAAACAUGAUCCUCAAGAGAAAGGUGAUAUUCAGUACUUACAGUUUCCACUUUACUCGUUUGUGCACCUGCUGCUGUUUCAUUUACAACCUCAACUUUUUUGGCUUGAUUUUGUGACAUGUUUUUAUCUUUCCAAAAACACAUCUUUGCAAAAUGUCCUCUUCUUUGGCACACUGAACAAGAUUUAUUAAAGGCUGGACAUUGUCGGAGAGGAUGUUCCAUAUCACACCUUCGGCAUUUGAUUUUUCUUACGACAUUAACAUCUGUAGAAUCAUCAUCUGCUAAUAAUUUUAUAUGUUGUUUUGUCACCUCUAUCGACUUACAAUAAUCCUGUAUUUGUUGUAAUGUCAUAUUAGGCUCUCGUAACAACUUUUGUUGUACUUGUUUAUCAUGUACACCUAGAACCACUCGAUCUUUUAUCAUGCGUUCACUAUAAGAUGUUUUGCAUUCAUCACUCUGGCAAACAAAAUUACAAUUAUCAGCUUGAUUUUUAAGCUCUGUAACAAAUGCAUCCACAGUUUGGUCUUCCUUUUGUGUAAUAUUAUUAAAUUUGAAUGUUUCCAUUGUCACAUUUCUUUUUGGGAGAAAAUACUCGUCAAAACUAUUGAGUACAUCCUCCAGAUUGUCUUUCUUGUCUUUGGGAAAAGUAUUAUAUACAUCUAAACAUGUUUCCCCCAAAAUGUUUAACAGUAAUGCAAUUUUAAUUUUUUCUAGUGCUGAAUCCUUUCCGGCUGCUAGGAGAUAUAUUUCAAAUCUUUGUUUCCAUCGUGGCCAUUUGGUUGGAUCGCUUACAUCAAAUGCUUCUGGUGCCCUGCACUCCAUUUUAUCAAAUUUCCUGGAGGUUUUCCAAAAACUAGAGUGGAUAAACGCCCCUUGGUAUUUCUCGUAUUUACACACUUUCUGCUACGAAUCUCCACUUACAAGUAGGUUAAAACACACCUGAUACCAUGUUUUACUUUAAUGAUGGUGGAUAUACAAAUAAGUACAUACUUUUAAUAACUUUAUUUUAUUUUAUAAGAUCUAGAUCUACACAAGGCUCUAACAAGCGGCCAUCCUUGUGUCUGUUAGCUGUCAGCUUAAGCCCGCUACAGUACACACUAUGUACACACUAAAGCUCAUGGUCUUAAGCUGCAUACAGACUAACACAAAUAAACAUAAAACUUAAUUCUAAAUUACACAACAUACGUAAGUUAAUUAUACCAAAUUGGUGUUUAUUUUUCCUGUGGUGUUGAUUUUUAUUUAUACCGAGAGUUGAACUUGUUACGAUUUUAAUAGAAAAUUGGUUAUAACUUUGUAAAUACCCUGUAUAACAUAAUAAACCUUUAUAUUUUGGUGAUAUGGAUAUGAAGGUUAAGAAGAUUUCGAACAUAAAAUAAAAUAUAGGGUGUUCCAUUUAAAAAACAUAAGUUUGGUCUGUCACUAUAUUAUCGAACGCCCUGUAACAUUCUAACUAAUUUUAGUAAUUUUGUAAUAUGAAGCUUAAAGUUUGCUAAAAUUUUUGUUACUAACUUUUAUUACUAUCUAUUACUCUAGCGGAUCUACUGAGUUUUAUCACACUAAUCAAUCGCCCCGUAUAUUUUAUCUUAUUACUUCUGCUACCGUUAAUCACGCAUUUUUGUCUUUUAUCUUUUUCAUACUGCUUUAGAAUGUUGUUAAACUCAUUAAAAGAACUAAAUAAUGGUCCACACUCCAUAGUUAAUUAAAAAACACUAAACAAGUAAAAAAUAAGGAAACUCUUUAUAAAUCAAUAUUAAAGUGUAAACAUAAACGCGAUUAGACAAAUUCUAACCACACUCUGAGACUCGCGAUACUUACAGAUACUUAAUACCACAGCAUACACGCGGCUCAAAUUAGCGUGUACCAAAAAGCCCAGUCAUAGUACAUGCUAAAUAAUGAAGUCACUGACUUAAUGACGUUUAAGCGUGUACCUAACUUUUUUAUUUGCGUACACGUUAGCGUGUACCUAGACACAGCGCAAAUUAUUAUUAACAUAAAAGUAUUACAUACAUGGUCCAUACUUUUUAGCGAUAUAAUAGCAUGACAUU
Long non-coding RNA from Diabrotica virgifera virgifera (western corn rootworm), 3025 nucleotides. RefSeq lists it as uncharacterized. Lineage: Eukaryota; Metazoa; Arthropoda; Insecta; Coleoptera; Chrysomelidae. The transcript has 3 exons. The record is from RefSeq and is a predicted model, not a curated record.